UCCCUACGGGGUGCAGCAGGCGCGAAAACUUUACAAUGCGAGAAAUCGUGAUAAGGGAACCCCGAGUGCCCGUAAAUUCGGGCUGUCCAUCAGUGUAAAAAACUGGUGAAGAAAGGGCCGGGCAAGACCGGUGCCAGCCGCCGCGGUAAUACCGGCGGCUCGAGUGGUGGCCACUAUUACUGGGCUUAAAGCGUCCGUAGCUUGGUUGUUAAGUCUCCUGGGAAAUCCAUCGGCUCAACCGAUGGGCGUUCGGGGGAUACUGGCAACCUAGGGACCGGGAGAGGUGAGAGGUACUCCAGGGGUAGGAGUGAAAUCCUGUAAUCCUUGGGGGACCACCUGUGGCGAAGGCGUCUCACUAGAACGGCUCCGACAGUGAGGGACGAAAGCUGGGGGAGCAAACCGGAUUAGAUACCCGGGUAGUCCCAGCCGUAAACGAUGCGCGUUAGGUGUAUCGGUGACCACGAGUCACCGAGGUGCCGAAGGGAAACCGUGAAACGUGCCGCCUGGGAAGUACGGUCGCAAGGCUGAAACUUAAAGGAAUUGGUGGGGGAGCACCACAACAGGUGGAGCCUGCGGUUUAAUCGGACUCAACGCCGGGAAUCUCACCGGAUAAGACAGCGGGAUGAUAGCCGGGCUGAAGACUCUGCUUGACUAGCUGAGAGGAGGUGCAUGGCCGUCGUCAGUCGUACC
RNAcentral lists this ribosomal RNA (690 nucleotides) under uncultured Methanolinea sp. Its description in RNAcentral is "bacterial SSU rRNA". It matches the Rfam family "Archaeal small subunit ribosomal RNA", at positions 319 to 1015 of the family's 1478-position model. Lineage: Archaea; Methanobacteriati; Methanobacteriota; Methanomicrobia; Methanomicrobiales; Methanoregulaceae. The record is from RNAcentral.